Molecule: long non-coding RNA, 1116 nt
Organism: Gossypium arboreum
Lineage: Eukaryota; Viridiplantae; Streptophyta; Magnoliopsida; Malvales; Malvaceae
Exons: 3
Source: RefSeq, a predicted model, not a curated record
GGGGGUUGAUGUAUCAUUAUGCUAAGGGUUUCGUUUGAUGUUAGGAGGUAUUCAAGGGGCCGAGGGUCUGGAAUAAACACGCUAAGUGUGCGAAACUCCCUUUGUUCAAGUGAAGGUUUUGGAGGUGUUGGGAUUGCAAUAUCAGCGAAAUCGAACCAGGUGUACUCAAUUGCACAGAAAACGAGAAUUGACAAAGUCGAAAAAUAAAUCUGUCGAAGCCACACGAGCAUGCGGUCGCCCGUGUGGUAGGCCGUGUAGCAGUACAUAGCCGUGUGAUUGACGAAUCAGGUUGUGUGCGUGUGACACUGGCGCAUGACACAUUUGUGUGAUAGCCGAAGAGGCCGUGUGCUAGACACCGAUUUGAUCAAUUGGGCUGUGUGGGCCACACGGGUGAACCACAUGGGCAUGUGAAAUUCUAAGCCAUGUCGUGUGGGGCCAAAGCCAAUUUGGGCAGUGUGGGCCACACCGGCGUGUGGGCCCCACACGGGUAGGCCAUAUGGGCGUGUGAGCCCAUUAUUUAUGAAAUACUUUAAAAGGUAGCUCGAGUCGCCCAAGUCGUUUGGGACCUAUUGUAGGGUCGGUAAGAGAUAUUAGACCCAUGAUUACGUGAUUUGACUAUGUGAUAUAUAUGCUUUUAACAUGUAGACUGAUAUGUAUGUAUGAUGUGUUAAUUGCAUAAUUGCAUGUCAUGUAUUGCAUGUUGCAUUGCAUCGGGUUUAGGUUAAUAUAUAUGGAGGAAGUAUUCUGAAAGGCUCCUAAGCCUUAUAUCUGGCAGCACAGUUGCAACUAUCUGACUAUGUGUCGCUUUCGAUACAGCAUGGUGUGUAGGGAUGGGUGAGUCCAUUUUAUCGCCACAUGGUGUGUAAAGUUGAACGGAGUUAGUGUGUAGAGGCUGGCGGGAAAUCCUCAAACUUGUCGGAUCGGUGAAACGGAGGACUUGAGGUUGGCCACAUGUAAAUUUUUAGAUUGUUUUCUUUUCGAUUACAUCUAAUUUUUAUUACUUAUUUAGGUUUUUGAUGUAAUUUUGGACUUAGACUGUUUGGUUUAAUUUGGAACUUAUUACGAUUUUGUGAUUAAUUGAAAUUGCAACUCACCAAAACACGGUUUUCCUAAAAA